RNAcentral lists this ribosomal RNA (301 nucleotides) under uncultured bacterium. Its description in RNAcentral is "partial 16S ribosomal RNA". It matches the Rfam family "Bacterial small subunit ribosomal RNA", at positions 509 to 809 of the family's 1533-position model. The record is from RNAcentral.
CAGCAGCCACGGUAAUACAGAGGGUGCGAGCGUUAAUCGGAUUUACUGGGCGUAAAGCGUGCGUAGGCGGCUUUUUAAGUCGGAUGUGAAAUCCCUGAGCUUAACUUAGGAAUUGCAUUCGAUACUGGGAAGCUAGAGUAUGGGAGAGGAUGGUAGAAUUCCAGGUGUAGCGGUGAAAUGCGUAGAGAUCUGGAGGAAUACCGAUGGCGAAGGCAGCCAUCUGGCCUAAUACUGACGCUGAGGUACGAAAGCAUGGGGAGCAAACAGGAUUAGAUACCCGAGUAGUCCCUGUCUCUUAUAA